Molecule: ribosomal RNA, 466 nt
Filed under: uncultured bacterium
Lineage: Bacteria
Description: partial 16S ribosomal RNA
Rfam family: Bacterial small subunit ribosomal RNA
Source: RNAcentral
GAUGAACGCUGGCGGCGUGCUUAACACAUGCAAGUCGAACGAUGAAGCUCAGCUUGCUGGGUGGAUUAGUGGCGAACGGGUGAGUAACACGUGAGUAACCUGCCCUUAACUCUGGGAUAAGCCUGGGAAACUGGGUCUAAUACCGGAUAGGAGCGUCCACCGCAUGGUGGGUGUUGGAAAGAUUUAUCGGUUUUGGAUGGACUCGCGGCCUAUCAGCUUGUUGGUGAGGUAAUGGCUCACCAAGGCGACGACGGGUAGCCGGCCUGAGAGGGUGACCGGCCACACUGGGACUGAGACACGGCCCAGACUCCUACGGGAGGCAGCAGUGGGGAAUAUUGCACAAUGGGCGCAAGCCUGAUGCAGCGACGCCGCGUGCGGGAUGACGGCCUUCGGGUUGUAAACCUCUUUCAGUAGGGAAGAAGCGAAAGUGACGGUACCUGCAGAAGAAGCACCGGCUAACUACGUG